GAGUUUGAUCCUGGCUCAGAUUGAACGCUGGCGGCAUGCCUUACACAUGCAAGUCGAACGGUAACAGGUCUUCGGAUGCUGACGAGUGGCGAACGGGUGAGUAAUACAUCGGAACGUGCCCGAUCGUGGGGGAUAACGAAGCGAAAGCUUUGCUAAUACCGCAUACGAUCUACGGAUGAAAGCAGGGGACCGCAAGGCCUUGCGCGAACGGAGCGGCCGAUGGCAGAUUAGGUAGUUGGUGGGAUAAAAGCUUACCAAGCCGACGAUCUGUAGCUGGUCUGAGAGGACGACCAGCCACACUGGGACUGAGGCACGGCCCAGACUCCUACGGGAGGCAGCAGUGGGGAAUUUUGGACAAUGGGCGAAAGCCUGAUCCAGCCAUGCCGCGUGCAGGAUGAAGGCCUUCAGGUUGUAAACUGCUUUGUACGGAACGAAAAGACUCUGGUUAAUACCUGGGUCCAUGACAGUACCGUAAGAAUAAGCACCGGCUAACUACGUGCCAGCCGCCGCGGUAACU
RNAcentral lists this ribosomal RNA (517 nucleotides) under uncultured microorganism. RNAcentral describes it as "bacterial SSU rRNA". It matches the Rfam family "Bacterial small subunit ribosomal RNA", at positions 9 to 525 of the family's 1533-position model. The record is from RNAcentral.